UUUGCUAGGGGUGCUUUUUUUAGCUGAGAGACCAUUUAAUAAUGGUUAACCCUUCGAACCUGAUUUGGUUAAAGCCAGCGUAGGAAAGCUAUUUUU
This 96-nucleotide non-coding RNA is filed under the name uncultured Cetobacterium sp. Its description in RNAcentral is "TPP riboswitch (THI element)". It matches the Rfam family "TPP riboswitch aptamer (THI element)", at positions 6 to 98 of the family's 105-position model. Rfam says of the family: Vitamin B(1) in its active form thiamin pyrophosphate (TPP) is an essential coenzyme that is synthesised by coupling of pyrimidine and thiazole moieties in bacteria. Lineage: Bacteria; Fusobacteriati; Fusobacteriota; Fusobacteriia; Fusobacteriales; Fusobacteriaceae. The record is from RNAcentral.